Molecule: ribosomal RNA, 253 nt
Filed under: uncultured bacterium
Lineage: Bacteria
Description: partial 16S ribosomal RNA
Rfam family: Bacterial small subunit ribosomal RNA
Source: RNAcentral
UACGUAGGGCGCAAGCGUUGUCCGGAAUUAUUGGGCGUAAAGAGCUCGUAGGCGGCCUGUUGCGUCCGCUGUGAAAUCCCGGGGCUCAACCCCGGGCCUGCAGCGGAUACGGGCUGGCUGGAGGCAGGCAGGGGAGAACGGAAUUCCUGGUGUAGCGGUGAAAUGCGCAGAUAUCAGGAGGAACACCGGUGGCGAAGGCGGUUUUCUGGGCCUGUUCUGACGCUGAGGAGCGAAAGCGUGGGGAGCGAACAGG